GACGAACGCUGGCGGCGUGCUUAACACAUGCAAGUCGAACGGAAAGGCCCUGCUUUUGUGGGGUGCUCGAGUGGCGAACGGGGGAGUAACACGUGAGUAACCUGCCCUUGACUUUGGGAUAACUUCAGGAAACUGGGGCUAAUACCGGAUAGGAGCUCCUGCUGCAUGGGGGGGGUUGGAAAGUUUCGGCUGUUGGGGAUGGACUCGCGGCUUAUCAGCUUGUUGGUGGGGUAGUGGCUUACCAAGGCUUUGACGGGUAGCCGGCCUGAGAGGGUGACCGGCCACAUUGGGACUGAGAUACGGCCCAGACUCCUACGGGAGGCAGCAGUGGGGAAUAUUGCACAAUGGGCGGAAGCCUGAUGCAGCAACGCCGCGUGCGGGAUGACGGCCUUCGGGUUGUAAACCGCUUUCGCCUGUGACGAAGCGUGAGUGACGGUAAUGGGUAAAGAAGCACCGGCUAACUACGUG
This 468-nucleotide ribosomal RNA is filed under the name uncultured bacterium. Its description in RNAcentral is "partial 16S ribosomal RNA". It matches the Rfam family "Bacterial small subunit ribosomal RNA", at positions 28 to 507 of the family's 1533-position model. The record is from RNAcentral.